GACGAACGCUGGCGGCGUGCCUAAUACAUGCAAGUCGAACGAGUGGCGGACGGGUGAGUAAUGCCUGGGAAUUGCCCAGUCGAGGGGGAUAACAGUUGGAAACGACUGCUAAUACCGCAUACGAUUGGAUUGCCCAGGUGGGAUUAGCUAGUUGGUGAGGUAAUGGCUCACCAAGGCGACGAUCCCUAGCUGGUCUGAGAGGAUGAUCAGCCACACUGGAACUGAGACACGGUCCAGACUCCUACGGGAGGCAGCAGUGGGGAAUAUUGCACAAUGGGGGAAACCCUGAUGCAGCCAUGCCGCGUGUGUGAAGAAGGCCUUCGGGUUGUAAAGCACUUUCAGCGAGGAGGCGUUACUCGCAGAAGAAGCACCGGCUAACUCCGUGCCAGCAGCCGCGGUAAUUC
RNAcentral lists this ribosomal RNA (404 nucleotides) under uncultured bacterium. RNAcentral's name for it is "partial 16S ribosomal RNA". It matches the Rfam family "Bacterial small subunit ribosomal RNA", at positions 28 to 526 of the family's 1533-position model. The record is from RNAcentral.